This 207-nucleotide long non-coding RNA is filed under the name Elaeis guineensis (African oil palm). RNAcentral's name for it is "long non-coding RNA (EGUI_LNC055618)". The record is from RNAcentral. Lineage: Eukaryota; Viridiplantae; Streptophyta; Magnoliopsida; Arecales; Arecaceae.
UAUAAAAGUCUAACUCAAAUUUUUACUCUCGCAGUUAAACCAUGUCCCCCUCAAACUCUUUAGCCUGCAUCUUUGAAAUCAAUCAUUUGAUCGAUAUAAAUUACAAUGACUGGCUCAAAAAUCUCAAGAUUGUCCUGAUCUUAGAAAAAUUAAGUCAUGUACUCGAUCAGAAACCUAUAGUGUUACUAAACUGUCCUACUACUGAGC